CUGUUUGCUUCUCUCAGACAGUGUUGCAGGGUUAGGUCAGCGAAGCGGGAGAGCAAGUGGAGUGCCUCUUCUACAAUCGGCCGAAGCUCCCACAUGGGUGAUCUGCCAUUGCGCACAGCUUCAACAAGGGGAAAGCAGUCUGUUUCAAUCACCAGAGUGGUGUUAUGGAGUUGUCUUCGCAGCAGAUGGUGCAGUGUACAGGUUAGUGCGUUGAGUUCAGUUUCCAGCGCCGAGUGCGACCAAAAUUUGCUAGAAAAUCCGUCCAUAAGCCUCCCACGAUGAUCUCUAUAGACACAGGCCAUCGUGCCCUUGGUGCUGCCCGGCUAAAAAGCUCCAUCUAUGUUAUAUUUCAGAGUGCCAGAGUCUGGAGGAUGCCACAGAUGCGCGGGAUUGAGGUGCGGAAUCCUGGAUCUCGAUCCAGCAACAGCAGGGGAAAGGAGUGAUCGGGUCUGAGUGAUGGCCAUGUCAACUACCCAUCACGGAUCUGGUGUCUGGUUGCGGAAGACUACAUCAUUGCGCAUUCUCCAAAUCUGCCAUAGUGUAUUGGCAGUGAGCUCGAGACCGGCAUGCAGCAAGGGUCAGAGGCGAUGUGUCGAUUAAAGAGGUUGGCCCUUGUCGCAAUUGCAUUUUGACACACAGCCCAGGUAAAUACUCUUAUUUUUGGCGCAGUUUGCAUUGACCAUAUUCGCCGCCAUAGGAUUUUAGGAUUCUGAUAUGAUGUAGAUGCUCUAUUACUGUUGGCAAUUCUUACUGUCUGACUAAUGUUAUGGUAGCAACUCUUGACUGUGUAUUCUCCAUUCUUCGUUGCUGUCCAAAUGAGGCGAUCUUCAAUAGGUAGAUGUCUGAUAGGUAGUUUGACGAUCUGAUGUGUAAUCUCUUCUCCGAAAAGAGGGAGAAGAAUAGGUUGUUUCCAAGUUUGGUUGAUAGGAUCAAUGAGAUUCGCCACCAAGACUGGAUCAUCUUUGUUGGGAGGUCCAUGGAGAAUGCCCAUAGGUAACCAGCGAUCACCUCUAAUUUUGAUUGCCUGACUGUCGCCCACAGACCAGCAUAGAUGCGGAUAGAUGGCAUCCCUUCCCUGUAGGAGACUCUUCCAUCCCCAUGACGAGCGAGCUGCUGGAUGUAUAGAGAGGAAACUUUGUGUAGGAAAAUACAAACCCUUGAACAAUUUACUCCACAACGCCAAAGGUUGUUGCAAUAAUCGCCAGGCCUGUUUGCCGAUCAGAGCUUCGUUAAAUGCGAUUAAAUCCCGAAAGCCUAAGCCACCAUAAUCUUUGCUUGCUUUCAACAGAUCCCAUUUUUGCCAAUGAAUGCCUUUUCUGUUCUGAUCAUUCUUCCACCAGAAACUUGCAAUGCUUUUCUCUAUAGAUUUUUAUAUCGACAAAGGAAUUUUAAAAAUAGACAUAGCAUAGUGGGGUAGCGCUUGCACGACAGAUUUGAUAAGAACUUCCUUUCCACCUUUGGAUAUGAGCUUACCCUUCCAUCCCUCCAACUUGUUAUGGACCCGUGCUAUUAUCCAUGAUAACAUUUCCCUUUUUGAUCGUCCCCAAUCAGAAGGUAAGCCCAGAUAUUUGCCACAUCUAGUUAACACCGGUAUUCUUAGCUCACCUGACAUAUUAUCUUGCAAUCUAAGGGGGUAGUGAUUACUAAAAAUAAUGCCUGACUUGUUACGAUUCACUACUUGACCCGUUGCUAGACAAUACUGGUUUAUGAUAGCCGCCAGGUUCUGACAUUCCCUUGUAGUCCACUCUAGGAAGAAUAUAGCAUCGUCGGCAAAAAAUAGGUGGGAUAGGGUAGGACACCAUCGAUUGAACUUAAUACCUUUAAUGUGUCCGAUACUGACAACUUGGUUAAUUAAGGUCGAUAAUACAUUGGCCAUCAAAAUAAACAAGUAUGGAGAUAAAGGAUCACCUUGUCUUAGGCCUCGUGUAGCGGAAAAAUAAGGAAGGGGCUCGCCAUUGAAUUUGAUACUGAAGGAAGUAGUGGAGACACACUGCAUGAUCCAUCGGACCCAUGUAGGAUGGAAGCCCAAUUUAAGGAGGUAGUCCUGUAGGAAAUCCCAUUCAACUCUAUCGUAUGCCUUUUGCAUGUCUAUCUUUAGGAUUGCAUUGAAUUUCCAUUUUCUCUUUCUGGUCUUGAACUGGUGAAGAACUUCCUGCACAAUCAAGAUAUUAUCUUGGAUCUGACGCCCACUGACAAAGGCUAACUGUUCCAUUGAGAUGAGAGAGUCCAACCAAUGUUUAAGGCGGUUGGCAAGCAACUUGGAGAUAAUUUUAUAUGCGAAAUUGCAUAGGCUAAUGGGACGAUAUUGCUCUAGCUUUUCAGGAUUUGGUGUUUUAGGAAUCAACGUGAGAAAAGUUUGAUUUAGGGUAGGAGGCAUAAUGCUUGUCAGAAAGAAGUGCUGGACCUGAAGCAAGAGAUCAUCUUUAAUAAUAUCCCAGUGAGUUUGAUAAAACAAGCCACUAAGUCCAUCAGGGCCAGGGGCCUUUGUUGUUCCUAACUGGAAUAUGGCCUGUCUGAUCUCUUCCAAAGUAGGCAUUGCGAUCAAUUGGUCGUUCAUUUCAGUACUUAGUAGUGGCGGACACUGUGCAAGAAUAGGACCGUAAUCUCGUGUCCCCUAAGUCGUAUAUAACUUCGAGAAAAAAGUUGUCGUCAUACCUUGUAGGGCUUUAGGGUCACGAAUCCAUUGCUGGUUCUCAUCUUGUAAAAUGGUAAUACAAUUUCGAUGUCUUCUUUGGAUUGUAGAUGCAUGAAAGAACCGAGUAUUCUUGUCUCCCUAUUUCAACCACUGUACUCUUGAUCUUAUUGCCCAAUACUGUUCUUCCUUCUGCCAAGUUCUUGUAAUUUCGUCUAUGAUUUUGGAGGCUUCCUCCUUGUGAUAAUUUAAGUGUUGUUGAUUCGUCAGGUCUUGUAGUUGGUGUUGUAAUGUAAUGACUCUGGCACAUCCAUUUGAGAAUUUAGUACGACUCCAUGUAGAUAGAGCGGUGCUGACAUGCUUCAACUUGGAAAGAAAAACUGGAUGCGUGGGAUGUAUAGAAGUCCAUGAUGUAGAAAUAAUGUCGCGACAUUCAAUAUCAUCGUUCCAGUAGGCUUCAUAAAUGAAAGAUUUCUUCUUCCUCUUGAA
This is a long non-coding RNA of Eucalyptus grandis, 3121 nucleotides long. RefSeq lists it as uncharacterized. The record is from RefSeq and is a predicted model, not a curated record. NCBI's taxonomy places the organism in Eukaryota, Viridiplantae, Streptophyta, Magnoliopsida, Myrtales, Myrtaceae. The transcript has 2 exons.